Molecule: ribosomal RNA, 502 nt
Filed under: uncultured Glomeromycotina
Lineage: Eukaryota; Fungi; Glomeromycota
Description: partial small subunit ribosomal RNA
Rfam family: Eukaryotic small subunit ribosomal RNA
Source: RNAcentral
CCAAUAGCGUAUAUUAAAGUUGUUGCAGUUAAAAAGCUCGUAGUUGAACUUCGGGGUCUACCCAUUGGUCAGGCUUAAUUGUCUGCACUGGUGAGAUGGAUCUCUACCUUCUGAGGAACUUUCAUGCCAUUUAUUUGGUGUGAUGGGAAAUCAGGACUGUUACUUUGAAAAAAUUAGAGUGUUUAAAGCAGACUAUCGUCUGAAUACAUUAGCAUGGAAUAAUGAAAUAGGACGGACUGAUUCUAUUUCGUUGGUUUCUAGGAUCGACGUAAUGAUUAAUAGGGAUAGUUGGGGGCAUUAGUAUUCAAUUGUCAGAGGUGAAAUUCUUGGAUUUAUUGAAGACUAACUACUGCGAAAGCAUUUGCCAAGGAUGUUUUCAUUAAUCAAGAACGAAAGUUAGGGGAUCGAAGACGAUCAGAUACCGUCGUAGUCUUAACCAUAAACUAUGCCGACUAGGGAUCGGAUGAUGUUAAUUUUUUAAUGACUCAUUCGGCGCCUUACG